GGGGCUGUAGGGUAGCUUGGCCCAUCCUCGGAGACUGGGGGUCUUUGGACCUGAGUUCAAAUCUCAGCAGCCCCA
This 75-nucleotide transfer RNA is filed under the name archaeon BMS3Bbin16. Its description in RNAcentral is "tRNA-Pro". It matches the Rfam family "tRNA". From Rfam's summary of the family: Transfer RNA (tRNA) molecules are approximately 80 nucleotides in length. Their secondary structure includes four short double-helical elements and three loops (D, anti-codon, and T loops). RNAcentral also lists the same sequence under 4 other names. The record is from RNAcentral.